AUGUCGUGGUCUUCGGGUCGUUCUCAGGCUCCCAGCUUCCGUCGAGCCUCUGGAAGGAGAGGGGAUGAAUCGAGGUUGCCAGUGCCCUACCGUGAGAGCCCGAUGGCGUACGAGCCAGAGAAGCUCUGCUGGUGCACGUCGCGUCGGAAGGCCCCGAGAUGGAUCUCAUGGAGGCGUCAGAACACUGGCAGGAGGUACUAUGCCUGCGUGGAUGCCAUGGUGAGCUUUUUCUGUUCAGUAGAUCUUGUCCCCUCUCAAACCCUGAUUUCUAUUGCUACAACAUGGUGGUUGUGGCUAUGUUGA
Molecule: ribosomal RNA, 303 nt
Filed under: Triticum aestivum (bread wheat)
Lineage: Eukaryota; Viridiplantae; Streptophyta; Magnoliopsida; Poales; Poaceae
Description: partial small subunit ribosomal RNA
Source: RNAcentral